GUAGGGAAUAUUGGACAAUGGGGGCAACCCUGAUCCAGCGACGCCGCGUGAGUGAUGAAGGCCUUCGGGUCGUAAAGCUCUGUUGCAGGGGAAGAACACAAUGACGGUACCCUGCUAGAAAGGAUCGGCUAACUUCGUGCCAGCAGCCGCGGUAAGACGAGGGAUCCUAGCGUUGUUCGGAAUUAUUGGGCGUAAAGCGGGUGCAGGUGGCUUGGUAAGUCAGAUGUGAAAGCGUGGGGCUUAACCCCAGAAGUGCAUUUGAGACUGCUGAGCUUGAGUGCUGGAGAGGCUAUUAGAAUUCCUGGUGUAGUGGUGAAAUACGUAGAUAUCAGGAGGAAUACCGGAGGCGAAGGCGGAUAGCUGGCCAGACACUGACACUCAGACCCGAAAGCGUGGGGAUCAAACAGGAUUAGAUACCCGUGUAGUCC
This 428-nucleotide ribosomal RNA is filed under the name uncultured bacterium. Its description in RNAcentral is "bacterial SSU rRNA". It matches the Rfam family "Bacterial small subunit ribosomal RNA", at positions 354 to 796 of the family's 1533-position model. The record is from RNAcentral.